This 314-nucleotide ribosomal RNA is filed under the name uncultured eukaryote. Its description in RNAcentral is "partial 18S ribosomal RNA". It matches the Rfam family "Eukaryotic small subunit ribosomal RNA", at positions 1470 to 1796 of the family's 1831-position model. The record is from RNAcentral.
CCCUUAGAUGUUCUGGGCUGCACGCGCGCUACACUGACACUAUCAACGAGUGCUCCUGGUUUGAAAGGAUCGGGUAAUCUUUUGAAAUGGUGUCGUGAUGGGGAUAGAUCAUUGCAAUUAUUGAUCUUGAACGAGGAAUUCCUAGUAAAUGUGAGUCAUCAGCUCACGUUGAUUACGUCCCUGCCCUUUGUACACACCGCCCGUCGCUCCUGCCGAUUGAGUGAACCGAUGAGUAGUCCGGAUUGCGAUCGACCUCGGUUAAUCGCGAGAAGUUCCGCAAAUCACUUCACUUAGAGGAAGGAGAAGUCGUAACA